UACGUAGGGUGCGAGCGUUAAUCGGAAUUACUGGGCGUAAAGCGUGCGCAGGCGGUUCUCCAAGGCCGUUGUGAAAGCCCCGGGCUUAACUUGGGAAUUGCGCUCGAAACUACUUGGCUGGAGUGUGGCAGAGGAAGGUGGAAUUCCAGGUGUAGCGGUGAAAUGCGUAGAGAUGUGGAGGAACACCGAUGGCGAAGGCAGCCCCCUGGGCUAACACUGACGCUCAUGCACGAAAGCGUGGGGAGCAAACAGG
RNAcentral lists this ribosomal RNA (253 nucleotides) under uncultured bacterium. RNAcentral describes it as "partial 16S ribosomal RNA". It matches the Rfam family "Bacterial small subunit ribosomal RNA", at positions 524 to 776 of the family's 1533-position model. The record is from RNAcentral.